UAAUACAUGCAAGUUGAGCGCUGAAGGUUGGUACUUGUACCGACUGGAUGAGCAGCGAACGGGUGAGUAACGCGUGGGGAAUCUGCCUUUGAGCGGGGGACAACAUUUGGAAACGAAUGCUAAUACCGCAUAACAACUUUAAACACAAGUUUUAAGUUUGAAAGAUGCAAUUGCAUCACUCAAAGAUGAUCCCGCGUUGUAUUAGCUAGUUGGUGAGGUAAAGGCUCACCAAGGCGAUGAUACAUAGCCGACCUGAGAGGGUGAUCGGCCACAUUGGGACUGAGACACGGCCCAAACUCCUACGGGAGGCAGCAGUAGGGAAUCUUCGGCAAUGGACGAAAGUCUGACCGAGCAACGCCGCGUGAGUGAAGAAGGUUUUCGGAUCGUAAAACUCUGUUGGUAGAGAAGAACGUUGGUGAGAGUGGAAAGCUCAUCAAGUGACGGUAACUACCCAGAAAGGGACGGCUAACUACGUGCCAGCAGCCGCGGUAAUACGUAGGUCCCGAGCGUUGUCCGGAUUUAUUGGGCGUAAAGCGAGCGCAGGUGGUUUAUUAAGUCUGGUGUAAAAGGCAGUGGCUCAACCAUUGUAUGCAUUGGAAACUGGUAGACUUGAGUGCAGGAGAGGAGAGUGGAAUUCCAUGUGUAGCGGUGAAAUGCGUAGAUAUAUGGAGGAACACCGGUGGCGAAAGCGGCUCUCUGGCCUGUAACUGACACUGAGGCUCGAAAGCGUGGGGAGCAAACAGGAUUAGAUACCCUGGUAGUCCACGCCGUAAACGAUGAGUGCUAGAUGUAGGGAGCUAUAAGUUCUCUGUAUCGCAG
Molecule: ribosomal RNA, 819 nt
Filed under: Lactococcus sp. INBio2861C
Lineage: Bacteria; Bacillati; Bacillota; Bacilli; Lactobacillales; Streptococcaceae
Description: bacterial SSU rRNA
Rfam family: Bacterial small subunit ribosomal RNA
Source: RNAcentral